GUUGACACCUCGGGAUGGAUCGUAACCGGGUCCUCUUUGCACUUCAUAAUUUGGUCUUUGUACAUCAUAUCCAGGUCUCUGUGCAUCAUAGGGAGCUCCUCUUUGUGCAUCAUAACCAGGUCCUCUCUGUGCAUCAUAACCAGAUCCUCCAGAGGCAUCAUAACCAGGCCCUCUUGGUGCAUCAUAAACAGUCCUUCCAGGUGGUCCAGGUUGAGCUCCCACUAAUGGAGGAGUUCCAGCAGCUGUAGCACCACCACCUGCAGCAGCAGCAGGAGGAGGGAAGGGGGCACGUC
RNAcentral lists this long non-coding RNA (293 nucleotides) under Prunus persica (peach). RNAcentral's name for it is "long non-coding RNA (PPER_LNC003855)". The record is from RNAcentral. Lineage: Eukaryota; Viridiplantae; Streptophyta; Magnoliopsida; Rosales; Rosaceae.